GAAGUUCAAACUCUACAACUGCAGCAGGACGUUUCUGAAUGGUGCUCCUGUGGAAACUGUGCAACCAUGCCCACAGAAGCUGAGAAUAUCUGCUGCUAGGAGAUACCACAGGUUACCAGAUGGCUAUGGGAGAUCGUGGAAGAUUUACCAUGUAUGGUAGACCGUCCUGGGUUGGAGCCGCUCUGCCUCAAUGUGUUCUGCCUGCAACAUGUACAGCG
Seriola aureovittata is the source of this 218-nucleotide long non-coding RNA. RefSeq lists it as uncharacterized. The transcript is spliced from 3 exons. The record is from RefSeq and is a predicted model, not a curated record. Lineage: Eukaryota; Metazoa; Chordata; Actinopteri; Carangiformes; Carangidae.